UUCUUGGAGAGUUUGAUCCUGGCUCAGGACGAACGCUGGCGGCGUGCCUAAUACAUGCAAGUCGAGCGAAUCAAUAGGAGCGCAGCUCUUUUGGUUAGCGGCGGACGGGUGAGUAACACGUGGGC
This 125-nucleotide non-coding RNA is filed under the name Bacillus sp. MUM 116. Its description in RNAcentral is "Bacterial small subunit ribosomal RNA". It matches the Rfam family "Bacterial small subunit ribosomal RNA", at positions 1 to 122 of the family's 1533-position model. Lineage: Bacteria; Bacillati; Bacillota; Bacilli; Caryophanales; Bacillaceae. The record is from Rfam by way of RNAcentral.